GAUGAAGAACGCAGCGAAAUGCGAUAAGUAGUGUGAAUUGCAGAAUUCCGUGAAUCAUCGAGUCUUUGAACGCACAUUGCGCCCCCUGGUAUUCCGGGGGGCAUGCCUGUCCGAGCGUCAUUGCUGCCCUCAAGCACGGCUUGUGUGUUGGGCUUCCGUCCCUGGCAACGGGGACGGGCCCAAAAGGCAGUGGCGGCACCAUGUCUGGUCCUCGAGCGUAUGGGGCUUUGUCACCCGCUCCCGUAGGUCCAGCUGGCAGCUAGCCUCGCAACCAAUCUUUUUAACCAGGUUGACCUCGGAUCAGGUAGGGAUACCCGCUGAACUUAAGCAUAUCAAUAAGCGGAGGA
Molecule: unclassified non-coding RNA, 347 nt
Filed under: soil metagenome
Description: partial contains 5.8S ribosomal RNA, internal transcribed spacer 2, and large subunit ribosomal RNA
Rfam family: 5.8S ribosomal RNA (bases 1-120)
Source: RNAcentral